This 575-nucleotide long non-coding RNA is filed under the name Homo sapiens (human). RNAcentral's name for it is "non-protein coding lnc-FGL1-3:7". The record is from RNAcentral. Lineage: Eukaryota; Metazoa; Chordata; Mammalia; Primates; Hominidae.
AAUUCAGGGAAAAUGCUUUGAAUGACAAGCAACUCUUGCCUGCAAAGGCCGGGUCUCAUGAUCUCUGCAACGCUGUGAUCAGGAUGUGGUGGGAGCUCCGUCUUGGGUGAUCCUCGUGAGGGCAUUUUUCAGCGAGCUUUGAAAUUCUUCAUUUUUUUUUUAGUUACUCCCUGGUGCUAGGGAAUCUACCUUUUAAGGAACUCGGGAGGAAGCACUGAAACAACACAAAACCCUAUCUCAAGAACUUGUUAACCUCCGGGGAGAGCUAGUCACUGCUUCAACCACCUGUGAGAAAUUAGAAAAAGCCAGGAAUGAGUUACAAACAGUGUAUGAAGCAUUCGUCCAGCAGCACCAGGCUGAAAAAACAGAACGAGAGAAUCGGCUUAAAGAGUUUUACACCAGGGAGUAUGAAAAGCUUCGGGACACUUACAUUGAAGAAGCAGAGAAGUACAAAAUGCAAUUGCAAGAGCAGUUUGACAACUUAAAUGCUGCGCAUGAAACCUCUAAGUUGGAAAUUGAAGCUAGCCACUCAGAGAAACUUGAAUUGCUAAAGAAGGCCUAUGAAGCCUCCCUUU